AAUCAACGCUGGCGGCGUGCCUCAGACAUGCAAGUCGAACGCGAAAGGUUCCUUCGGGAGCCGAGUAGAGUGGCGCUCGGGUGAGUAACACGUAGGUAAUUUGCCUUUGGGUGGGGAAUAACAAUCGGAAACGGUUGCUAAUACCGCAUAAUGCAGCGGCUCGACAUCGAGACAGUUGUUAAAGCGGGGGAUCCUUCGGGACCUCGCGCCUAAAGAGAAGCCUGCGGCGGAUUAGCAGUCGGUGAGGUAAUGGCUCACCAAGGCGACGAUCCGUAACCGGCCUGAGAGGGCGGACGGUCACACUGACACUUAAAUACGGGUCAGACUCCUACGGGAGGCAGCAGUCGGGAAUUUUGGGCAAUGGGCGAAAGCCUGACCCAGCAACGCCGCCGUGAAGGA
RNAcentral lists this ribosomal RNA (399 nucleotides) under uncultured bacterium. RNAcentral describes it as "bacterial SSU rRNA". It matches the Rfam family "Bacterial small subunit ribosomal RNA", at positions 32 to 408 of the family's 1533-position model. The record is from RNAcentral.